RNAcentral lists this transfer RNA (65 nucleotides) under Sphaerodactylus townsendi. RNAcentral describes it as "tRNA-Ala". Lineage: Eukaryota; Metazoa; Chordata; Lepidosauria; Squamata; Sphaerodactylidae. The record is from RNAcentral.
UGGCUCAGUGGUAAAUCAUCUGCUUGGCAUACAGAAGGUCCCAGGUUCAAUUCCCAGCAUCAGAA